Hyalella azteca is the source of this 261-nucleotide long non-coding RNA. RefSeq lists it as uncharacterized. The record is from RefSeq and is a predicted model, not a curated record. The transcript is spliced from 3 exons. Lineage: Eukaryota; Metazoa; Arthropoda; Malacostraca; Amphipoda; Hyalellidae.
CGCCAUGUGAUGUUUACAUCAGGCUUCAGCAACUAUUCGUCAUUUGAGUAUUACGCCAUGUGUCUUCGUAACCGUUCAACUUCAACCGUCUUCAAAAAAGCGGAUUUUAUGCAGAAAUUGCAGGCGACCUGAUCUAAAAAAAUGGAAGCUUCAGUAAAGAAGAAGAGGAGAAGAAAGCGAGGGCACGGCAAGACCAGGGAACUUCAUGUCUGCGUUCCUGGUGGGGGUGAGGGCUCACCUACUCCUGGUGGUGAGGGGCGG